Molecule: long non-coding RNA, 808 nt
Organism: Erigeron canadensis
Lineage: Eukaryota; Viridiplantae; Streptophyta; Magnoliopsida; Asterales; Asteraceae
Exons: 4
Source: RefSeq, a predicted model, not a curated record
UUAUUCCUAUCAAAUUAUAAUGUCUGUGUAAAUAUGCAAAAGAAGAUAACUUUUCUUCCAACAAGCAAAAGAAAAGGUUAAUUUGGUCAUUUCAGUCUUUGUUUAGUCACCAAGGUCAGCAGUUGGUGACAAAUAGUUAAGUUUGAAAACCAGUUGAGCUGUGUAUUAGGAACUCGAUCAACAGUUUCUUGAGACCUGAAGCAAUUCUGAUACAUUUGAAUAUGGCCAACUACAUCUCUAUUUUGAUCUGCUGUUCUGUUCCCGUGUCCUGUUGCUAUACUCUAUAUAGUUUUUGCCAGCCAAGAAUUGUUGGAAUAGAAGAAAUGCUCUUUGAGGCUGGAACAAAGGGACUUCAUGCCCGGCUCCUCGGACCGUGGCAAAGGUUGAUGAUUGGAUCAUGAUGCCUCUUGUUGUAAUUGUGGAUUUUGUUCGCUAGUUGAGGAACAUAAUGACCUAGAGAAGAUUUAUAACAGAGUUAAGAAAAUGGUUGCUGAAUGUUAACACGACCAGUCAUGCUGUCCUGUCAAACGGAAUUAGAUAUCAAGCCUGUUAUCUUGAAGUCAAACGGGCCAUAUUGAUGUAGGCUCAAGGAAAAAGUGUUUUAUUUCUGGUCAAAUCCAUGCUGAUGAUGUUUUUAAGCAUGACUUGUACUUUAUCCUUAAGAUUUUAUAUUGGUUUGACUAUUUCUUUUUUUCAAAAAUGUACUCCGUAUAAUGGUUAGUUUGGAUGGUGAGUAUACAAGGAAAAUGUGAAAAUUUUUGACCUGCAUAACUUUCUCCGGCUAUAUAAAACUCUCUGUAUUUGUAUU